This 450-nucleotide long non-coding RNA is filed under the name Homo sapiens (human). RNAcentral describes it as "non-protein coding lnc-PTBP3-3:1". Lineage: Eukaryota; Metazoa; Chordata; Mammalia; Primates; Hominidae. The record is from RNAcentral.
AUGGCCAAAUCCAAGCACCACACCACACACAACCAGUCCCGAAAAUGGCACAGAAACGGCAUCAUGAAACCCGGAUCACAAAGAUACGAAUCUUUUAAAGGGGUGGACCCCAAGUUCCUGACAAACAUGCGGUUUGCCAAGAAGCACAAUAAGAGGGGCCUAAAGAAGAUGCAGGGCGACAGUGCCAAGGCCAUGAGUGCACGUGCUGAGGCCUUGCCCUCAUAAACCCCAAGGAGGUUAAGCCCAAGAUUCCAAAGGGUGUCAGCUCUUGCCUACGUUGCCCACCUCAAGCUUGGGAAACGUGCUCGUGCCCGCAUUGCCAAGGGGCUCAGGCUGUGCCAGCCAAAGACCAAGGUCAAGGAUCAAACCAAGGCUCAGGCUGCAGCUCCAGCUUCAGUUCCAGCUCAGACUCCCGAAGGAGCUCAGGCCCCUACAAAGCCUUCAGAGUAG